GACGAACGCUGGCGGCGUGCUUAACACAUGCAAGUCGAACGAGUGGCGAACGGGUGAGUAACACGUGGGUGACCUGCCCUGCACUUCGGGAUAAGCCUGGGAAACUGGGUCUAAUACCGGAUAGUGUGGGAUGGGUCCGCGGCCUAUCAGCUUGUUGGUGGGGUAAUGGCCUACCCAGGCGGCGACGGGUAGCCGGUCUGAGAGGAUGACCAGCCACACUGGAACUGAGACACGGUCCAGACUCCUACGGGAGGCAGCAGUGGGGAAUAUUGCACAAUGGGCGCAAGCCUGAUGCAGCCAUGCCGCGUGUGUGAAGAAGGCCUCGGGUUGUAAAGCACUUUCAGCGAGGAGGCGUUACUCGCAGAAGAAGCACCGGCUAACUCCGUGCCAGCAGCCGCGGUAAUAC
RNAcentral lists this ribosomal RNA (406 nucleotides) under uncultured bacterium. RNAcentral describes it as "partial 16S ribosomal RNA". It matches the Rfam family "Bacterial small subunit ribosomal RNA", at positions 28 to 526 of the family's 1533-position model. The record is from RNAcentral.